UUAAAAGAAUUUCUCAGACAAAGAGCAUCGUUUUCACGUGAACUCGCCCCAGCGAGGUUGGUAGUUCGGAACAAAAAUUAUUACUGUUUGAAACGAAUGCGGUCGUCGUAGCGCACACCACAAAAGCAAGCAAAGUCGUUUUCCUUCCGUACACUGUCCCAAACAAGCGUAUUCCUUUCCUUCGAUUGUUAAUCGAUUUGUUAAAGCCGCCCGCCCGACGCCUUUUUCUCAGCCUCCGUCCCACCGUACCAAAUGACCGAUGCACGGUAAUUAAAUACGGUGGCUGCCGCCGCACGCGCCAUGUUGCAAAUGAACUGAACUUUCGCUGCGAAAAUCAAAGCAUAUCAGAAACAGGCGACAACGACGUAGAACGGCGACGUCAGCAAAAGAAAUUAUAUAUAUCGGAACACACCAGCCAACGCCCCAUCAUCCGGUCAACCCAAAAAGCGAUAGAGGGAGAGAGAGGGAGGACAGUUCCCUCUAUCUCAUGAAGAGUUGCAAUUUGGCUCGGUCAAGAACAAGUGUGCAGCAUCAUCCCCACCGAGGCCACAACGGGAAGCGCGUUUGAGCGAAAAACUGAACUGAAAAUACGAUUUAACAAAAAAAGCGAAAGCAAAACAGUGAAACAUGAGCGAUCCGGAAGAUCUGGAGGACGGCGAGAUCGAGGAUGACGAGGAGGACGAGGUGGUGGCGGUACGGCGGCCGGAUGAUCCACCGCUGAUGCCGCCCAAACCGGUCGACUACAUGGAGUACGAGGCGGGCGACCAGCACCAUCCCUCCGUAGGUAGCGAUGGUGAAGGGAAAGCGAAUUCAAAGCCGUCGCAGCAGCAGCAGCAAUCACCGCAGCAACGCUCCUCCAAAAAGCCCGCUCCGGUCGUAGACGACUGGACGAUGAAGGUGGAGCAAUCGAUCGCGAACGCACUGAUACGGGACGGCGUGCAGCCCCCGAUGCCCUCGUCCGUGCCGCACGGGCACGAAAAAGACGAUUCCGUCGGCCACACACCGUCCAGCAGGAAGUCGCGCAAGCGCAAGCGGGCGAACCGAAGCGAACAGCAGCACCACCAGCAGCAGCAGCUGCAGGGAGGAAAGCAGGCCCGGUUCGAUCCGGACGGGGACGAGGACGAUGUCGAUCUGGAGAACGAAAUGCUCAACGUGCGGGGCAGUAGCCCACAGCAAGCCAUAAUGGGAAGGGGUGGUGGAGGUGGUGGAGGGGCCGCCGAUUCGGGACGGUCCGAUUCGGAGGCGGACGAUACUCACUACUCGUCGGACGAGUCGGCGGGUGGGCGCGAUCGGGACGGCGGCCAUUACCGUCGCCCCCGGGGGGACCAGCACCAGCAGCAGAGGGAGCGUGAUCGGGAGCGCGAACGGGAACGGGAGCGUGAGCGGGAGUACAACCGGAAGAAGCGGAAACAGGCGCGCCAGGGCAGGGGCAACAACAAUGGCAAAUCGAACCGGGACGGCCGGAAGCGCAAGCGGGACGAUUCGGAUGACGAAAAGCAUCGCCCGACGGGACCGCGCAAGAUGGAGCUGUGCAAGUUCUACCUGAUGGACUGUUGCGCGAAGCGGGAAAAGUGUCUGUACAUGCACAAGGACUUCCCGUGCAAGUACUACUACCUGGGCAUGAAGUGCAAGGAGAAGGACAAGUGUCUAUUUAGCCACGGCGAACCGCUGGCGGACGAUCUGCGCGCGAUCCUGCUGAAGCAUCUCGAGACGGCGCCGCAGGAAAUCCUGGGCAGCUUCCAGCGCAUCAGCCGGGACAGCGCGAUCGGCAUGCUGAACGCGACGCACCGGAAGCUACAGGAGCGGUACGGUGGUGGUGGUGGAAAGCACCACGAUUCGAAAAUCCCUUCCCUGUUGGAUGUGGUCCCGGGAGGAGGAGGCGGCGGUGGCGGUGGUGGACACAUGCACAGCCCCAAGCACGGCUCUUCCCGCCGGUCGUCCCGCUGGGAGGAGGGCGGCCGCUCGAGCGACGGAGAACCGCCGCACGAUGGUGGUGACUGUGGGGGCGAUAUGACGAUGCAGCUCGCCGGCGUCAUUACGGCGGCCCAGAUCAACGACCUCGAGCAGAUGGGCAUACGGACGCUGGACGAAAUUAGCCAGCUGACGGUGGCGCAGCUGAACGAGCUUGGGCUGAGCAUUACGCAGAUUCACGAUCUGCAGGUGCGCGCACUCAAUGCGCACCGGCAGGCGGUCGCCAACGAACGGAGACGACCGCGGGAACCGCCGGCACCGGCACCGGCCCCAGCACCAGCACCAGCACCAGCGCCAGCAGCCCCUCCGCCAGCUCCGGCAGAAAAGCCAAAGGAUCUCGACCUGCGCACACUGCCGGGCGUGGCAGAGUCGCUCCUCGGUAGCCAUAGCAACGAACAGAGCAGCAAGGACGUUGACAUGCGUGUGCUUCCAAUGGGUGGUGAGCAGCAGCAGCAGCAGCAGCAGCCGGUGGCGCCCCCACCCAACAACGAGACCGCCGCAAGCCUCGUCCUGCCCGGUCUGGUGCUUCCGAAGCCGCCCACCGUCGACUACUCGCAGUACAUCAAAGACUCGAAUCUGGACGAGGAGGACCUGGAUGCGGUCGCCACGGCGAGCAGCCUGCUGAACGACCCGCCCGAGGACGACGAUGACGAUGACGAUGAUGAGAAUCAUCUCAAGAUCAACAUCGCGGAAGAGGAAGAAGAGGAGCAGGAGGAGGAGGACAAGAAGAAGCAGUCUGAUGAGCAUGAGGAGAAGCAAUCCGACGAGGUUGGUGGGGCUGGAAAGGAGGAAGAACUUCUGCUUCCACCGCUGAUACCGCCCAAGAUUGACUACGCCCAGGGGCUCGGGGACAUACUGAAGUUUGGCAGCACCGCGGUGGACAAGAGUUUGGCCCAGCUGUCAAGCGGUGAGUCGCCCCGUUCGCAUCGAUCGCCGUCACCGGUCGCAAAGGAGGACGCACUGACCGACAUUUGGACACCCUCGAUGGCGGACUCGACCCACAGCAGCAGUGCUGGUGGUGUUGCCCAAAGCUUUGGAGCUUCCUCGCAACAAUCGACGACGACGAAAGCGUCCGCCAGGUCAGCCACCGCGACCAAGCGACUCGGCGGUACCUCGAUCUACGAUUGGUGCGACUCGGAUGCCGGCGCCUCAUCACCGUCGGACGGGGGUGGACGAAAUUCACCCGUGACGUCAUUGUCGUCGUCGUCGUCGGCCGCACCGUUCCGAUACGGUUCACUUCCGUUGGAUAUUGACGAUCCCUACUCGGCGACGACUGCCGGGCGGGAAGCAACGAGCGAGCUGGGCUUCCCGUUCAAAUCGAUGAUGGCCAACUACGUGCCGGCCACGGAGAUCGAUGGGUCGAUCGGUUCGCAUGCACCGAUUCACUACAAGGUCUACGUGGUCGAUGUGCCGAAGCCAAACUAUGGCGCACUAAGACGUUCGAUGGUGCGCCCGGUCGGCACGAAGGACCCCCGGCUAAGGCGUCUGUUCGGGCUGGCAAGCGACGAUGAUGAGGAUCGGGCGAGCGACACCAGCGAUGGCAUUAAAUCGCCCGAUCCCACCCCGCACGCUUCGCCACUGUACGGCAGCUCGCCGUCGGUGCACGCUACCGCUGCACCAUCGCAACCGGCCAGUAAACCCGCACCACCCCCCGUAGUUAGCGGUGGGCGACGGGUAGAUCCACGCAAACGGCACGCCGAAAUGCAGCAGGAAUCGGCCGCCAAGAGUGUAGCGGCGGCUGCGGGCAGCGGCAACAACCAUAACCACCCGACGCCCCAGAUCGACGUGCAGACAAUACUGCAAAAGUCGCCCUGGUACAAGGACCUCGGCUCGAAGCACAAGAUCAUGGUGAACCAGCAGCUGGCCAUCCUGUCGUCCGAGAUGCGCAAGUACCACAACUCCGACCGGACGCCCGAGCAGCUGAGCGAGUUUAUGCAGUUUCUCGGCGGCAACGGGAUGCUGCAGCAGAUCCUCACCUACCUGAACGUGUUCGUGGACGAUUCGGUCAAGUUCUGCGAGGUGCCGGUCGUACCGAACAUGCCGCCGCCGGCCCUCCCGCCGCCCAACAUUCCACCGCCGAUGCUGCCGAUACCGGUGCACGUGCCACCGCCGCUCGGCGUUGUACUGCCACCGACUGGUGGUGGCGGCGGCAAUGGUGGUGGUGGUCUGCCCCACCAACAGCCUAACGGGCCUGGGAUGUUCCACGGCCCGAAUGGUCCCUUCGACCAGGAGCAGCAGCAUCGUGGUGGUGGCGGCGGUGGAUUGCCUCCCUCGAUCCGGCCGGGGCUGUUGGGCGUUUCGCCCAACAUGCCGUUCGAGCAGUUCCUUGCGAUGGGCAAUGUGAACAGACACGGUGAUGGUGACGGUGGAGGAGGUGGUGGCGGAGGAGGAGGAGGAAACAAUGGCCCACUGCCACUGUGGGUGCAGGGCAAUGGGGGUGGUGGCGGCGGCGGCGGAGGCAACAAUAUGCGCAACAUGCGCAACAACAACCGCAUCGGGCACAACUUCCGCAACAACAAUGAUCGGUGGAAUAAUGGUGGCGGUGGGCCACAGAUGAUGGGUGGUGGUGGUGGCAACAAUGGGAAUGGUGGCGGUCCGGGUAACAACAAUCGGCGAAACAAUGGCAACAACAAUCGGCGCAUGGAUCGGAAAAAGUAAAUCCACACCCAGAAACACACGCCUUCCAAAGAGAGCGAAAGACGAACGAAGAAGCAAUAGAGGAAGAGGAAGAAAAAGACAGAAAAUGAGAGAGAAAGGAUUCUCUUUUUUUUAGUAAAGCUUUAUUGCCCAGUGCCCGCGCUCCUGUGCAAAACCGCCCUGUGGUGGAGACGGAGGAACAAGCGCAUUGUUGCCGAUUGGUUGCUAAACCCUGAUCACCCCUCCCCCCAACUCCCCCAAGAAGACUUACUCAGCUGAAUACACACAGAAGGGGCGACACACGCGCAUCGAUGGAUGAACACGAGAUUUGUAUGAAACGUAGAAGAGAGACAGACAGAGAGAAAAAGAGAAAGUAAUAUAGGAUUGUUAUAAUAAGCCAAACACUGUUUCAUCACACACACACAGUUCGUCUCUGCCGCAGUGUGUGUAGAGAGAGAGAGAGAGAGAAGAGUGUUGGUUUUCCUCCUUUAUACUUAAAAUGGAAAAUAAAUUAUCAAACUUUUCGUUGUACACACACACGCGGGGGUACGCACGUUGUUGCAAAACAUCUCUCACCCUCUAAAAAACCAGAUCGUGGUGUGUUUUGGAGGGACACAGAGAGAGAGAGAGAGCUCGACAAGCGGUUAGAAUCAUUUUACUCUACCAUUAAACAAUUAUGCUUGUUUCUGUUUGACGGCCGAGCUAGAGAGAGAGAGAGAGAGAGAGAAAGAGAGAGAGAGAGAGAGAGACUGUUUUGUGCAGGAAUCUUCUUUACAUUCCCACAUUCGAAAAUCUCAUUCGUUUUUUGUUUUAAUCCCCCACACACCAGAAAGGGACCACACUUAACGGACAAGCAAAAUCGUAAUCGUGCGUAAUCAGAGAAACGUUUUUUAAAUUAAAAAAAAAACCGUGCCAAAUCAGCCCGUUGUCCCACACCCGGAAAAGGGGUUUAAAAGAUCAUCUUCGUUCGGAAGCGGGGGGUGGCACUGGUGGCACAGUUGGCGUGCUUCCCCCACCACAUUAACAUUUUGUGUGACCCUUGGCAACCCUUGGUUGUAGUAAAAAUGGUGCUGAUUAAAGCGCGCGCGUUUUCGGUAUUAUUGUCUUAAAACGGCCUACUUUUCUGUCCAUCGUCAAUCGUCCUUCUAGUCAGUGCAGGGUUGUUAAUUGUAUUUUAGUUCGUUUAAAUCCUGCGGAAUGGAAUUUAAGUAUGAGAAAGUAAGACAGGGUAGUCGCGCGCGCACACUGUAUAAAAAUGUGAAUAAUAAGCUACAAAUAAGGUGUACUGUAGAAUAAAACAAAACUUUCGAAAAGAA
Molecule: RNA transcript, 5924 nt
Organism: Anopheles arabiensis
Lineage: Eukaryota; Metazoa; Arthropoda; Insecta; Diptera; Culicidae
Gene: su(sable)
Gene name: protein suppressor of sable
Exons: 5
Source: RefSeq, a predicted model, not a curated record